This is a non-coding RNA of Prunus avium (sweet cherry), 2678 nucleotides long. NCBI's taxonomy places the organism in Eukaryota, Viridiplantae, Streptophyta, Magnoliopsida, Rosales, Rosaceae. The record is from RefSeq and is a predicted model, not a curated record.
AUGGUGUCAGUUUCAGCAGACUUAUUCAUUGGCAAAUUUGUAGCCAUUCUUGAGAGUGAAGCCGGCUCCAUAGCGGGUGUUCGAGAUCAAGUUGAUGAGAUUAAGCAGGAGCUAGUAUUCAUGAAAUCCUUCUUAGAGGAAUUCAUGUAUCACAUGUACGAGCAGCAAAUCGGCGGUCGAUUUGCAAGAUGGAUCAACAACGCCAUUCACUUUCCGAAGAAACUUUGGUAUAAACGUCAAAUAGCUAACAAGUUACAGAAAAUUUCCGUGGCAAUUAGAGCUAUUACAGAGAGAAAUCAGAGAUAUGGUGGUGCUGCAGCUGUAGAAGGAAAAAGUACUUCUGAGGAGAUUCGGAGAUGGGUGCAGAACCAAGCGGAGUCUUCUCUUUAUCAGCAGGAGGAUGAACUUGUCGGGAUUGAAGGCGAUAAGAACAUGUUACUGGGAUGGCUGAUGGAUGAAGCGAAGCACUAAACUGUUGUGUCCGUGGUAGGGAUGGGAGGAUCAGGGAAGACAACUCUAGUUGCAAAAACCUUCAAAGAUGACAUUGUAAAGAGACAUUUCGAAUGCUCUGCGUGGAUUACUGUUUCCCAGUCUUAUGUGAUUGAAGACUUACUUAGAAGAUUGAUCAAAGAAUUCCACAAAGCAAAUAAGGAAGUGGUCCCUGCAGACAUGAAUGCCAUGAGUUAUAACGAAUUGCUGGAGAUUUUGGUGAACUACUUGGAGACUAAAAGGUACCUAGUUGUAUUGGAUGACGUGUGGGAUGUCCACCUUUGGGACAAAAUAAGGUUUUCAUUUCCAGAUAACCAACUUGGAAGUCGAGUCAUGCUUACAACUCGAAGAGAAGACAUAGCAUCCUCUUCUUUUGGAGUUGAAAGCCAUGUUCACAAGAUUCAACCGCUGGAAAUGGGUUAUGCGUGGGAGCUCUUCAGCAUGAAAGCAUUCUCAAGUUAUCAGAACAAAUCUUGUUCACCUGAACUUCUGCCAUUAGCUCGGGAACUUGUGGAAAAGUGUGAAGGCCUACCACUCGCGAUCGUAGCCUUAAGUGGUCUCAUGUCUUCGAAGAAGUCACUUAGUGAUUGGAGCAAAGUCUACAAUAGCUUAAAUUGGCAUCUAAGAAACAAUUCUUUGUUAGAACCUAUGAAGAGCAUCUUGUUGCUUAGUUUCAAUGAUUUGCCAUACAGAUUGAAGCAAUGCUUUCUAUAUUGUUCCCUUUUCCCAGAAGAUCAUGUGAUCAUAAAUAAAAGGCUCAUUAGAUUGUGGGUCGCUGAAGGAUUUGUUGAACAUGUCAAAGGGGUCACACCAUAAGAAGUUGCAAAGAGCUAUCUUAUGGAACUCAUUUUUCGUAACAUGCUACAGGAAAGGUUUGUAGUACUCAACCCAGCAUGUAAGAUGCAUGAUCUUUUGCGGGAGAUUGCUCUAUUUAUAGCAAAAGAAGAAAAGUUUUGCGGUGUACAUGAUGGGAGUGAAACAGUAGAAGAAACUGGGGCACUCCGUUUGUCAAUUCAAACAACUAAUGGAGAAAUUGGAUCAUGCACAGGUAUAUCACGACUCCGUUCGUUUCUUGUCUUUGCCACUGGCGUAUCCUCAUUCUCUUUCUCAAAUAAAUUACCUUUUGACCUUAAACUGUUGAAGGUUCUAGAUUUGCAGUAUGUCCCAAUAGAUAAUCUGCCAGACAGAGUAACGUGCUUAUUCAAUUAAAAAUAUUUAAAUUUGUUGAGAACUCUAAUUAAGGAGCUUCCAGAAUCCAUUGGACAGCUCCGCAACCUUCAGACCUUGAACAUCACGGGGACAAAAAUAGAGGCACUUCCAAGAGGAAUUUCCAAGUUGCUAAACUUACGCCAUUUACUUAUGAGGCCUGACUAUGAUGGUUUGGAGAUAAUUGGGGUAAAAACACCAUCAAGUAUUGGUAAGAUGAAGAAAUUGCAAUCUUUGGCGUAUAUUGAAUCAGAAGGAAACAUUAUUAGACUUAUUGGAAGUAUGACCCAGCUUACGAGCCUUGGCAUUACAAAUGUAAAAGAAAGAGACGAGGAGGACCUAUGUGCCUCAAUUCAAAAGAUGAAGGUCCUUUCCCACUUGACUUUAGUUGUAGCAGAUGGAGAGGAAUUUCUUCGAGUUGAGGCAUUGUCUUCACCGUGUCCCUACCUUGAUAGACUUAAAUUGGUCGGCAAACUGGAAAAGGUACCACAUUGGUUUUGUUCACUCCACUCUCUCAUAGAUUUGAAUCUGCGUGGGUCCAGACUUGAAGAAGAUUUACUACCUCAUAUUGAAGCAUUGCCCUCUCUAAGUUCUCUUUGGCUUGAUAAUGCCUCUGUUAGGAAAGAGUUAUGUUUCAACAGAGGCUUUGUGAAGCUUCAGCAAUUGUGGUUUUGGGAUCUCGCAUUAUUAAGUAAGAUAACUAUAGAAAAAGGGGCGAUGCCAAAUCUCGAGUUCUUAAGCAUUGUUAGUUGCUUGACAUUAGAAACAUUGCCACAGGGUAUUGAGGACCUUGCUAAACUACAAGGAUACAGAUUUGAUGAUGUUUCAGAAAAGUUUAGAGAGUCCGUAGAAGAAGGAGGUGUGGAUCAUCCAAGGAUGCUACUCAUCGACGAGAGAUGUAAGAAAUAUACAAACAAGUUCUGGGAUUGAAGAUUUUACCCAUGAGUUUGUGGGUAGGAAGAACUUGUUCGUCUUGUUUUGAC